RNAcentral lists this unclassified non-coding RNA (148 nucleotides) under soil metagenome. RNAcentral's name for it is "partial internal transcribed spacer 1". The record is from RNAcentral.
UAAUAAAAGUGUUUUAUGGCACUUUUCAAACAAAAUCCAUAUCCACCUCGUGUGCAAUGUUUUUUUUUUUUUUAAAUAAACACUUUAUUUUUUAAUUGCCAAUUUAUCUGAAGAUCAGUAUUAUUAUGAAUUAACUUAAUUCAAAAUA